Non-coding RNA from Phoenix dactylifera (date palm), 732 nucleotides. Lineage: Eukaryota; Viridiplantae; Streptophyta; Magnoliopsida; Arecales; Arecaceae. The record is from RefSeq and is a predicted model, not a curated record.
UUUCUCUCGAUUUUUUUUUCUUCUUUUCAUUUUUUUCUCUAUAGCUCUCCUCUCUUCAUCGCAAAAUAGGGGUGGGGGUUUAGAUCUCACUGGGGUGCUCUGGCUACCCCAAUAAGAGACAGAGGAGGUGAAGAGAAGGCCUUCGGCGCGACAUCGGCUGCAGCCGGAGGAGUAGCCAGAGCACGGUAUAUGGCCAUCAGGUAAGCACUUUUUUUUUUUUUUUUGCCUAAAUUUAGUGACCCUUUGCCAGAUUUUGGCCAUCGCCGGUUCGAUCGGAAAGGAAAAGAAGAAGGGAGGAGAUGGACCUUUACCUUGACUCCAAGAUGGCGUUGUGACCAUGAAUCUGACAGCCCGGAGCUUAUUCGCCUCGGCUUGCUUGAACUGAUGGAUUUUUUGAAACCUUGACAAGAAGUUACAGUCUUAUAAAUUCAGAAUGAUGUAAGAUCUUGAUUUGUUUAGGCCCAGAAGGGGAAUAAACUUGAUGGUCCAUCUAGUUCAUCGAGGCAAUCCGAAGGAAAAUUAUUAAGUACUAACAAAAGUUGGAAGAUUGCAAACUAUGGUCCACGUAGCACAUUGAGACACCUUCUUGUCUUCAAGGAAGGUCCCCGGAGGGUUGUGUCUUUUGUUUUUCGGUCAUUUUUUUGUGAGGAGAGGGUUGUGGCAGCUUACCACCGUGCGUUUGUCUAAAUAAUCAGAUAAUAAAUUGUGCUGAAGAUGUAGAAAUAUUUUAUA